UGGGGAAUAUUGCACAAUGGGCGCAAGCCUGAUGCAGCCAUGCCGCGUGUGUGAAGAAGGCCUUCGGGUUGUAAAGCACUUUCAGCGGGGAGGAAGGCGGUGAGGUUAAUAACCUCAUCGAUUGACGUUACCCGCAGAAGAAGCACCGGCUAACUCCGUGCCAGCAGCCGCGGUAAUACGGAGGGUGCAAGCGUUAAUCGGAAUUACUGGGCGUAAAGCGCACGCAGGCGGUCUGUCAAGUCGGAUGUGAAAUCCCCGGGCUCAACCUGGGAACUGCAUUCGAAACUGGCAGGCUAGAGUCUUGUAGAGGGGGGUAGAAUUCCAGGUGUAGCGGUGAAAUGCGUAGAGAUGUGGAGGAAUACCGGUGGCGAAGGCGGCCCCCUGGACAAAGACUGACGCUCAGGUGCGAAAGCGUGGGGAGCAAACAGG
This 429-nucleotide ribosomal RNA is filed under the name Chloroflexota bacterium. RNAcentral describes it as "Chloroflexi bacterium partial 16S ribosomal RNA". It matches the Rfam family "Bacterial small subunit ribosomal RNA", at positions 355 to 776 of the family's 1533-position model. Lineage: Bacteria; Bacillati; Chloroflexota. The record is from RNAcentral.